AGUGACGCCAGACGCCAGAUCCUAGGUGUGGAGGGCGGCGACACGGAGUUGUGAACAGAAAAUAUCGAAGUCCACUCCAGGAAAGAGGCCUUUCGUCCGGAAAAUCUGCAUCCAGCAAUAUGGUGUUAAUUCAGCUCUACAGCCCCCAAUCUUUACUUCAAAGGACUACUGAGGACAGAAUGUAUAUUAAAGAAAUGUAGAAAUUCAGGAGCCAUGAAGGAGAAGACAGGGGGCUUCGUGAUGCAUGGAGAACCUCUAAUAGGAAAAGCUUCACAACAGAAGGAACGAAGGAUAGUUGAGGAGGCACAGUGGUAUGUACCUGGAGUCACAGCUACUUGGGAGGCUGAUGUGGGAGGAUCGCCUGAGCCAGCAGUUUAAGGCUGCAGUGAGCCAUAAGCAUGCCACUGCACUCCAGCCUGGGCAACGGAGCGAGAUCCUGUUUCAAAACAACAACAACAACAACAACAACAACAAACACCAAAAAAACACACAAAAAAAGUGGAAUGAAAAGCAAGAUUUAUACCAUCUUCCCCUCAAAUAAGUUCUGCUUAUUCCUACCCUGUUGCCUAUAUUUACGUGAUGUUCUGUUCUUCAUUUCUGUAAUGUAAAGUAGAAAAAAUUUUAAAUAUAGACUACAAAGUAUACGACUUACAAAGUA
Macaca mulatta (Rhesus monkey) is the source of this 658-nucleotide non-coding RNA. The record is from RefSeq and is a predicted model, not a curated record. NCBI's taxonomy places the organism in Eukaryota, Metazoa, Chordata, Mammalia, Primates, Cercopithecidae.